AAGCCACAGGAUGAAGUGAGCGGGCUUAACAAGCCCUGGAAAGUCCCCGGGCCUUAUGCGCAGCGAUGCGCCCACGGAGACGUGGACGGCCCAUGGGCUGGCUUCUCCUCGCUUUAAGCGGGGGGCUGAGACAAGUGUGGAGCCCAAUUCAUAGGGAGCCGGCUCUGGGUCAAUUGGCUAAUCUCACAGUUAUUCACUUGGUCCGAAAUUGGAUUAACAGAACGGGGCUUACACUCCUGUGGUA
RNAcentral lists this RNase MRP RNA (244 nucleotides) under Brachypodium distachyon (stiff brome). RNAcentral describes it as "SRP RNA RNase_MRP". It matches the Rfam family "RNase MRP". Rfam says of the family: RNase MRP is an enzymatically active ribonucleoprotein with two distinct roles in eukaryotes. The record is from Rfam by way of RNAcentral. Lineage: Eukaryota; Viridiplantae; Streptophyta; Magnoliopsida; Poales; Poaceae.